Molecule: long non-coding RNA, 4029 nt
Organism: Acinonyx jubatus (cheetah)
Lineage: Eukaryota; Metazoa; Chordata; Mammalia; Carnivora; Felidae
Exons: 3
Source: RefSeq, a predicted model, not a curated record
UUUAUCUUUUUUUUUUCUAUUUGUGGGACCUCUUUUACAUAUUAGAGAUAAUAUUCCUUAUGGUUUUCUACUUCAUCUUGAUCUUCCAUCUUAUUUAUUUUUUGUCUUUCAUAAAUACUUGAUUUUUAUGUGGUCAAGUCUGCCAAGCUUUUCCUUUAGAACUUUUGUGUUUCAUAUCAUGCUUAGAGAGACUGCUUUUCCUUUAAACAAUACCAAUAUUUACACUUUGCUUUAGUACUUGUGUGGUUUCAUCUUUUUACACUUUAUGUUUUUACCCUUUUGAAUGUAUUUCUGUGUAAAGGCUCCAGCUUUAUUGUUUUCCAAACGGUUGGUCAAUUAUCUCAACAACAAAUUUGAUUAUUCGAUCUUUCCCCCAGUGAGGACUAGAGAGGGGAAAAGGGUAAAUAAACAAGGUUCCAAGACAGAAAGGGAUGCCAAUAGGUCAAAAGAACAGUUCAGACAAGAUUCCCCAGUCUGCUAGCAGUGAAUCCCUGUGGAAUCUCUCUUCACUGUGGUCCCGCUCGCCCUUAAUGGGCAGAGGCAGGAUGUUACAGGGUUGAGGCAGACCCGCAUUAUUAUUGGAGCCCUUUCCGGAAAGCUCUACAUGUGCAGCCUUGCUCUUAGCUCUCAGCAAUUAAGAAGAAAAUCUGACCUUCUUGUUUUGGAGUUAAUAGUAAAUUGCCAUGUAACUUGGGAUCUUUGUCAGCCUACUCUCCUGUUACCUCCCUGCCGUCACCCACUCCGGCCGCUCACCCAGACUCUCCACACUACCACAUUAAUAUAGAAGUAAUUCAUCCCAUCUUCUUCAUCCACACUGCCACUGCCCUAGCAGUGAGCGUCAUCCUGUCCUCUGGAUGGCAGCCCCAAAGCUAGGGCAGUCUGUGUGUGUGUUUGGAGGUGGGAAAAAGGGAGGACAGGGUGAUGAGAGCAGUAGCUCCCAGGUUGCCUGUGCAGCAAGAAGCCUGGAUUCUCACCAUCGGUGCUUACACCCACAUUCUGGCUGCUGGCAUCCUCUUUGCCAAUUUGUUUAAGGCAGCUUGGAUUUUGACUGAGGUCUGGGUCUGGGCACAGAGAGGAGUUUGUCCUGAAGUUCCUGGCCAAGUAGGGGAUCCUGGAAGAUGUUGGGAGUGGUAGAUACAGCUUGUGGUCUCUUUCCUGGGAGACAGAGGCUUAUGUGAUCUCUAUCCGCCACUCUCAUCCCCAGCUUAUUGACACAGCUUGGAUCUGGGGCCAGGAGGACAGGCACAGGCAGCCUGGAGCUUAAGGCAGGCAAAAUGCCAGGCCGGACAGUCAUCUCGUGGGUGCUGUGGGUGAAUUAUGGCACCAGGGUCCACAGAGCAGGCACAAAUCAUGGGCUGUCAGGAACGGGGGAAAGGCAACGCCUGCCCUCCUCCCCCAGUUGGAUUUAUGGGUUCAGGGCCUGGGUCUGGGUUCAAGAUGAUUGGACUUUACCAUGUUUCAUUUCCCCAGAAUGUUCCUGGGGAAGAGCUUGUCGCCUAAGACUGUGUAUGUGUGAGCGUGUACAUGUAUUUAUCAUUAUACAUGACUUGCUGUGGCUGUGCAGGAUGGUAAGUUUCUGCAUAGCUCUCUGUGUGCUUCUGAUUUUAUUUUUGCAUGGCUGACCAUGCAUGAGCUUUGCAGGAGUGUGGGCUUUGUGUUAUAUGACCCAGUGAGCUGUUUACAGGGUGAAGAUCUCGUGGAGCUGGGAAGUCCAAGAGUUUUUUGUGUGUGCGUCCGUUGGAGAGUGGGUCAGGGAGGGGCUGAACUUGGGAUGUCUGGGUAGCUGAUGUAGCUCCAACCAAGAAUAGGAGACUAGGAGGGAAAGUAGUUUGGGAAGGACAGUUUUGGGUGUGAUGAGUCUGAGGUCUUGGCAGAACAUUGAGGGGACACAUCUAGAAAAGCAGGGCUGGGCUUAAGGGAGAGUGAAGGGCAGGAGGGCCUCGGUUCAGGCUGCCUUCCAAAUGCAUUCAGAUGACAAUGCACUGGGGGAUGCGGCGCUUGGCUAGAAUGAACAAAACACACACACACACACACACACACACACACACACACACACCCUCUGAAAGCUGAAAGGAUACGUGCUGUGUUAAUCCCAUCUGGACAGAGUUCAAUAGGAAAUUUCCAAGGGUUGUUGGGAUGGCAUAAGUUGUGCCCAACAGUGAGAGUCAGGGAAAACUUCCUGGCAGAGGUGAUUAUUCAGCAGAAUCAUAAGGAGAAGAGAAUGCAGAGGGAAAAGGAUAAAUGCCCUGGCAUUAGGGAUUGGACAUGGGGAUAGAUUCCACAACAUUUGGUGCGAGGAGAGCAAACGAUUUUGAUGACAAUGAGCCCCUAGGAGGCUGGGGCUGUUGACUACUCAUCAUGGCAUUUCGAACACCUUGUGCGGGAGUAGGUGGUCUGGAUGUUGAGUUGACCCGGAGUCAACGUCUGAACCACUAUAACUAGAGAGAGUCCAGGAAGUUUACUGAAGGGGAACUUUGAAAUUGACACAAGGCAUUGGGUAGGGACUGACGGGAGAGGGGAUGGGGAUGCUAGGUACUUAAAGGGGGUGCCCAGCCCUGCCCAGCUCCUUCAGCCCGGCAGAUCUGCCAUACCGUGUUCCAUUUUUAAAACCCAGACAGUGCUCUACCCAUUCGCUUCCUCCAUGACUUGCCUCCAGAGCUGUUGGUUUGAAACCAUCACCUUGCAAUCCUCCUCGCCACAUUGCCUCCUGAUCUUCCCAACCUCUGUGUGACCUUGACUCACUUUCCUGAUCACGAACUUGCCAAGCUCAGUGGGUGGAGCAGCCUUCUGUCUGAUCGCUUGCUGAAUACGCCAGGGCACCAAAGGAAGGCUCAGCUAGAGAACACCCAGGACUUGAGAAGACCGUGUUUAUCCUCUGCUAUCAGGGCAUGGAUGCAGUGCAAAAAGGUACAAGUUAUAUUUGAGGGAUCCAAGGUCCAAGACAUGCUAAGAGGUCUAAAACCGGAUUUCUGGGGGCUACAGGGAAGGAGGCCUAUGGUGCCACACCUGGAUCAUGAACAAGGUGAGUGUCCCGGUAGGUAAAGGUAAAGUAGAGGCUCUCAGAGUCUGAGGUCUGCACAGGUGGAUAUAGACAGAGGUCAGCCUCAGUGGCACAGGCUGUGAGCAGGGGCUGCCUGGGACCAGAAGUAACAGAAGACCUCAAACUUGGCAGCCUGAAAUGGUGAAAAAAAAAAAAAAAACAUGCAUUAUCUCACAUAAUAGGAGCUCCCUCCAGAAAGGGAAGAUAAGCUCCCAUGCUGUGGCUCAAUGAUGCCAUCAAGGACCCAGGUUCUUUCUGUCUUUUGCUGCUACACUGAGUGUAUUGAUUUUGUCCUCAGAAUGGCUUCCCUCGGGGUCACAAAAGGGCUGCCCCAGAGUCAGUCACCCUAUCCAGACACCACAGUGUCCAGUAAAAGAAAAGACCCUCUCCUCUGGGUGUUCUUGAGUGAGAAACCUUUCCCCCAAGCCUCCCAUUGGGCUCCUCCUUACUUGCCUUUGCCUCUCCUGAUCAUUGACCAAUACUAACUUGUGUCAGCCAAGAGUCUUCCCUGGGGCUGGGUCUGCUUCUCUGAAACAUAUGUCCCAAAGAGGAAGGAGGACCCCUGCACACAACCAGACUUCUUUUAGGAACGAGGAGGUGGAUGUUGGGUAGACAAUGAAUUAUCUCUGUUCCACCAGGCCUCCACCAGUGCCAGAGAGAUGGGUGCAAGACAGAUCUGCAGGAAGUUGUUGCAAAAGCUCCAUAUUGGGAGACCAAAUCUAGGAACCGGUUAUUUGAGAUGAGGCCCUACGUCCCAGUGGAAUCAGCAGACAGGCUCUGAAAUGACACCUGAGGGAGACGUGAGAACAGAAGGACCUCGCAGAUACAAGCGGAGCAGCAGUGUGUGAGUCCGGGCGUGGACAGAAGCAGGUGCUCACACGUGCUGCCCAGAACCUGCAGUACGGGGGCAGCGGUGCUAUACCUGGAUCCUUGCUCCUAAAUGGACUCUAAGCUACCUCCCGGCUGCUGGUGAUGGAAGAGAGCACCAG